CAGAAAAAGACAGUGAGAAGACAUUCUUUCCUAUGUUAGCUGAGGAUAAGGAUGAAGCCACUCUCACCAGCAGAGCAGAUGGGGGAGGUGACGCAUCUACUGCUGCAGCUCAGCCCCCCCCAUGUUUGUUACAGCUGGCAGAGGUGAGACAUCCACCUCACCAUCCCACCCAGAGAAAGAAAAAGUUUGGAUGCCUCACUCUUGGUGCUCCAGCUCUGAUGCAAGCGCUCGGGUGCCGAGUUUGCCAAAGCUGGCACGAGCACCCCG
RNAcentral lists this long non-coding RNA (267 nucleotides) under Serinus canaria (Common canary). RNAcentral describes it as "lncRNA (ENSSCAG00000013467.1)". The record is from RNAcentral. Lineage: Eukaryota; Metazoa; Chordata; Aves; Passeriformes; Fringillidae.